This 836-nucleotide ribosomal RNA is filed under the name uncultured marine bacterium. RNAcentral's name for it is "bacterial SSU rRNA". It matches the Rfam family "Bacterial small subunit ribosomal RNA", at positions 20 to 905 of the family's 1533-position model. The record is from RNAcentral.
UGGCUCAGAACGAACGCUGGCGGCAGGCUUAACACACGCAAGUCGAGCGCACCUUCGGGUGAGCGGCGGACGGGUUAGUAACGCGUGGGAAUAUGCCCAAAGGUACGGAAUAGCCUCUGGAAACGGAGAGUAAUACCGUAUGUGCCCUUCGGGGGAAAGAUUUAUCGCCUUUGGAUUAGCCCGCGUUGGAUUAGGUAGUUGGUGGGGUAAUGGCCUACCAAGCCUACGAUCCAUAGCUGGUUUGAGAGGAUGAUCAGCAACACUGGGACUGAGACACGGCCCAGACUCCUACGGGAGGCAGCAGUGGGGAAUCUUAGACAAUGGGGGAAACCCUGAUCUAGCCAUGCCGCGUGAGUGACGAAGGCCUUAGGGUCGUAAAGCUCUUUCGCCAGGGAUGAUAAUGACAGUACCUGGUAAAGAAACCCCGGCUAACUCCGUGCCAGCAGCCGCGGUAAUACGGAGGGGGUUAGCGUUGUUCGGAAUUACUGGGCGUAAAGCGUACGUAGGCGGAUUAGUCAGUCAGAGGUGAAAUCCCAGGGCUCAACCCUGGAACUGCCUUUGAUACUGCUAGUCUUGAGUUCGAGAGAGGUGAGUGGAAUUCCGAGUGUAGAGGUGAAAUUCGUAGAUAUUCGGAGGAACACCAGUGGCGAAGGCGGCUCACUGGCUCGAUACUGACGCUGAGGUACGAAAGUGUGGGGAGCAAACAGGAUUAGAUACCCUGGUAGUCCACACCGUAAACGAUGAAUGCCAGACGUCGGGGGGCUUGCCCUUCGGUGUCACACCUAACGGAUUAAGCAUUCCGCCUGGGGAGUACGGUCGCAAGAUUAAAACUCAAA